GACGAACGCUGGCGACGUGCCUAAUACAUGCAAGUAGAACGCUGAAGGAGGAGCUUGCUUCUCUGGAUGAGUUGCGAACGGGUGAGUAACGCGUAGGUAACCUGCCUGGUAGCGGGGGAUAACUAUUGGAAACGAUAGCUAAUACCGCAUAAGAGUAGAUGUUGCAUGACAUUUGCUUAAAAGGUGCAAUUGCAUCACUACCAGAUGGACCUGCGUUGUAUUAGCUAGUUGGUGGGGUAACGGCUCACCAAGGCGACGAUACAUAGCCGAACUGAGAGGGUGAUCGGCCACACUGGGAGGGAGACACGGCCCAGACUCCUACGGGAGGGAGCAGUAGGGAAUCUUCGGCAAGGGACGGAAGUCUGACCGAGCAACGCCGCGUGAGGGAAGAAGGUUGUCGGAUCGGAAAGCUCUGUUGUAAGAGAAGAACGAGUGUGAGAGUGGAAAGUUCACACUGUGACGGUAUCUUACCAGAAAGGGACGGCUAACUACGUG
RNAcentral lists this ribosomal RNA (495 nucleotides) under uncultured bacterium. RNAcentral's name for it is "partial 16S ribosomal RNA". It matches the Rfam family "Bacterial small subunit ribosomal RNA", at positions 28 to 507 of the family's 1533-position model. The record is from RNAcentral.